This 85-nucleotide non-coding RNA is filed under the name uncultured Enterocloster sp. RNAcentral's name for it is "S10-Clostridia ribosomal protein leader". It matches the Rfam family "S10-Clostridia ribosomal protein leader". Lineage: Bacteria; Bacillati; Bacillota; Clostridia; Lachnospirales; Lachnospiraceae. The record is from RNAcentral.
UGAUAGCUGAGAAGCGAGAGGUUGCUGGCUGCAAAGCAGUCGGGUUUUCCGUGGAGCGAAUGUCAAGUUAGGAAACUGGCGACAA